RNAcentral lists this ribosomal RNA (430 nucleotides) under Bacillota bacterium. RNAcentral describes it as "Firmicutes bacterium partial 16S ribosomal RNA". It matches the Rfam family "Bacterial small subunit ribosomal RNA", at positions 355 to 776 of the family's 1533-position model. Lineage: Bacteria; Bacillati; Bacillota. The record is from RNAcentral.
UGGGGAAUAUUGGACAAUGGGCGCAAGCCUGAUCCAGCCAUGCCGCGUGUGUGAAGAAGGCCUUUUGGUUGUAAAGCACUUUAAGCGAGGAGGAGGCUACUUGGAUUAAUACUCUAGGAUAGUGGACGUUACUCGCAGAAUAAGCACCGGCUAACUCUGUGCCAGCAGCCGCGGUAAUACAGAGGGUGCGAGCGUUAAUCGGAUUUACUGGGCGUAAAGCGUGCGUAGGCGGCUUCUUAAGUCGGAUGUGAAAUCCCUGAGCUUAACUUAGGAAUUGCAUUCGAUACUGGGAAGCUAGAGUAUGGGAGAGGAUGGUAGAAUUCCAGGUGUAACGGUGAAAUGCGUAGAGAUCUGGAGGAAUACCGAUGGCGAAGGCAGCCAUCUGGCCUAAUACUGACGCUGAGGUACGAAAGCAUGGGGAGCAAACAGG